Molecule: ribosomal RNA, 253 nt
Filed under: uncultured bacterium
Lineage: Bacteria
Description: partial 16S ribosomal RNA
Rfam family: Bacterial small subunit ribosomal RNA
Source: RNAcentral
UACGUAGGGGGCAAGCGUUGUCCGGAAUCAUUGGGCGUAAAGCGCGUGUAGGCGGCCAGAAAAGUCCGCUGUGAAAACUCGAGGCUCAACUUCGAGCUGUCGGUGGAAACUUUCUGGCUAGAGUCCGGAAGAGGAGAAUGGAAUUCCUGGUGUAGCGGUGAAAUGCGCAGAUAUCAGGAAGAACACCCGUGGCGAAGGCGGUUCUCUGGAACGGUACUGACGCUGAGACGCGAAAGCGUGGGGAGCGAACAGG